Molecule: ribosomal RNA, 253 nt
Filed under: uncultured bacterium
Lineage: Bacteria
Description: partial 16S ribosomal RNA
Rfam family: Bacterial small subunit ribosomal RNA
Source: RNAcentral
GACGUAGGGGGCGAGCGUUGUCCGGAUUCAUUGGGCGUAAAGAGCGCGUAGGCGGCUUGGUAAGUCGGGUGUGAAAUCCUGGGGCUCAACCCCGGAACUGCACCCGAAACUGCCCGGCUAGAGGUAGGUAGGGGAGAUCGGCAUUCCUGGUGUAGCGGUGAAAUGCGCAGAUAUCAGGAGGAACACCGGUGUCGAAGGCGGAUCUCUGGGCCUUACCUGACGCUGAGGCGCGAAAGCUAGGCGAGCGAACAGG